RNAcentral lists this ribosomal RNA (256 nucleotides) under Staphylococcus aureus. RNAcentral describes it as "partial 16S ribosomal RNA". It matches the Rfam family "Bacterial small subunit ribosomal RNA", at positions 1 to 246 of the family's 1533-position model. The record is from RNAcentral. Lineage: Bacteria; Bacillati; Bacillota; Bacilli; Caryophanales; Staphylococcaceae.
UUUAUGGAGAGUUUGAUCCUGGCUCAGGAUGAACGCUGGCGGCGUGCCUAAUACAUGCAAGUCGAGCGAACGGAUGAGAAGCUUGCUUCUCUGAUGUUAGCGGCGGACGGGUGAGUAACACGUGGAUAACCUACCUAUAAGACUGGGAUAACUUCGGGAAACCGGAGCUAAUACCGGAUAAUAUUUUGAACCGCAUGGUUCAAAAGUGAAAGACGGUCUUGCUGUCACUUAUAGAUGGAUCCGCGCUGCAUUAGCU